AGAAACAAAAGGAACUUAGUCUUUUCUGCACGAGUCUGAAGACAGAAAAUGUGCCGUCAAUCUGUCAGAACAGCUGUGGCUGAAGACAUCGACCUGCUUUUAAACCAUCUAGUUUCGCUCAGGCGUUGAAGUAAGACGUAAAUCACAAGACAGGGGAGAUGAAAACAAGAGACGGGGUGGCAAAAGCUAAAAACAUGAACUGUUUUGUCUUGCAUAAAGACUACUCAAACAAAGAAAAUGGGGUCCCAGUGCUCAAAGGGGAUAGUUCCCCUUUGCUUGGAUUAGAGGGACUUGGGGAGACAGACGGGUUAAAACCAGUGAGAAACACUCCACCCUGCCCCCUACAGCAGAGAGUAAAGGUCAUCAGCUGAUGUUACAUUCAUUCAAAUUUAGGUUAAACCAGCAAUCUGUCGUCUGGCAAAUCUCCAACACGCCAAACACUAGGGUCUGCUAAAACCCUCACACUUGUAUAGAGUUUCAAUUAAUUACAAGCUAUAAUAAAAAUUUCAAGCCUUUAAAAGUUACAAAAUGAUUGCAGAAGCUUUUAAUCCCCAACAACCAAGAGACUACACAGGACUAAUCGCCAACUUUAUAUUGUUUUACUAUUUAUGCAUUCUAACAUGCUAUUUUGAUUUUUGCUGCUUGAUUUGUCCCCACCAUUUUUAUUUAUUUUUUUUUAUUCCUCACCACAGCUUUAAGGAACCGCAUGUAAUCUACGAACAAAAACACGCUGGGCAAAUUGAAAAAGGAAGUAAUGUUGCAACGCGACGGCAUUUCUGGACAGGUGCCAAAAAGGAGUUCAAUACGCAAAACGGGAUUUACAUUUUUACCCAUAGGGCAAUAACAGCAAAAAAACAAAAACAAAACAAAAAAACAAAGAUAUGCUCUCCUAAAUAAGAUAAGAUACUUUAACAUAAAUGUGAAUAAUGAAACUCAAAUGAUGGUAAUGUUAGAUUUGGUGCUCUAUAUAAAAAGCUCAUGAUAUACAUUCACCAGCAAUCUUAUUGGGUGCACAUUGCUGGAACAACGAUUCGCUGUGCCAGAAAAAUUCAUCACAUAUUUGGUUCAAAUCAUAUCAAAUGCUUCAUUGUUACGUGCUUCACCAGCUGCACAUCUUUGAUGGGAAUGUCACAUUCAACCGCAUACAAAAAGCUCCACUACUGAACUGAGAUCUGGUGAAUGCAGAAGCCAAACAGAGUGCAGAAAACACACCGUUGAAGAAACCUGCUUUGAGGUCACAAAGACUCCGUUUUAUUCUGCUGGGCGAAGCCACGCCGACGACGUCAUAAACACCGACAUGAAGGCAGGACACAUUUUUGCUUUCAGGUUAUUGUUCACCUUUUAAGUUUCAGUUUCCUGUUCUUAGAUUACGGGAGGGCCGCUCACUGUGGUCUUCUGCUGCUGCAGUCCAUCUGCUUCAAGCUUCGAUGUCUCGUGCAUUCAGAUUUCAUUUGGUAUACCUUGGUUGUAACAUCUAGAGCAUUACCUGGAAACCUGAGCGAUGGUCGUGCAUGGCACACACUGCAAACUCGUUCUUAGAGCAGCAUUUUCGGCCAGAGUUGCACUAACAACCAUGGCAUGUUUAAACUUGCUAAAAAUUCAGUUUCCUUUUCCUGCUGAUGCUCCUCAUGAAGUCCAGUGAGUUGCGUUCACCACACCUAGAUACAUAAAUCUAUUAAAUUACUCCCAUGUGAUUGGCUGAUUCAGUGUUAACAAGCAACAGAGCAGGUGUUCCAAAGUGGCGAGUGGAAUUUCUGUGAAAAACAGUCAUUUAUCCCACAGGGACACUUGACCCAGUUCAUCGGAUCUCCCUACUUCUGCCUGAGAGCAUCCCAACACCAAACGAAUAAAUCGGCUUCUUCCUGAAUGUUUUUUUUUUUUUUUUUUUGGGGAAAAGCUGAGGAUAAAGCAAACUGAAUUUAGCUUUCAGCAUUCUUCUUUUGGAGAAAUAUUUGAAAUUUCUCGUCAUAAGCAGGAAUAAUCGGUGGCAACAAACAACCUGCAUACCAACAACAAAGCACCCUAUACAACAACUAAUCUGCUCCAACUGAAAAUUCUUCAAUAAUGCAGCCUAAUUUGGCAAGAGGCUAAUCCGGAAAAAAAA
Molecule: long non-coding RNA, 2104 nt
Organism: Poecilia latipinna (sailfin molly)
Lineage: Eukaryota; Metazoa; Chordata; Actinopteri; Cyprinodontiformes; Poeciliidae
Exons: 2
Source: RefSeq, a predicted model, not a curated record